CAGCUUGGAGAAAUGGGGGGUGUUACGACCCGCCCCAGGAAAAGAAGGGGGAGGGGGUAACCCAGGUUUUAUCAAUAAUUCCUUUGGGGUGGAUUAAAGCGAAACGACACUAAAUAAUCGGUGUCUGAAAACAUAUAUUGACAAGAUUUAUUUUAACAAUUCCGCAUCAGUAGGUAUGUUAACAUUUUGGGUGCUGUCAUAACCUUUCUGGGGAGGAGAAAAAUGCAUAGGGGAGAGAAAGACAGGGUAAGAGUAAGGGAGA
This is a long non-coding RNA of Chiroxiphia lanceolata (lance-tailed manakin), 262 nucleotides long. RefSeq lists it as uncharacterized. The transcript is spliced from 3 exons. The record is from RefSeq and is a predicted model, not a curated record. Lineage: Eukaryota; Metazoa; Chordata; Aves; Passeriformes; Pipridae.